UUGAAUUAAACUUGUAUAGAAAGAAAAUUGAAAUACAAAUGGGAUUAUAAUGAUCACUUUCAAAAGUUGAAUUAAGCUUGUAGAGAAAGAAAAUUGAAAUUCAAAUGAGAUUAUAAUGAUCACUUUCAAAAGUUAAUAGCGUUAUUACAAAAGGAAGAAAAUGAAACAUUGAUAAGAAAUUGUGAAAACGGCAAUUCUUUGAUAUACUUGAUAUUUGAAUACAUGAUACUUACAUGAUGGGUGAUGAAAAGCUUUUUCUUCUUGGUUUCAACAUCAAUCAUGAUAGGGCAUACCUAUUAAAGCAAGAGAAAAGCUAUUAGCAGAAGUAGAAAGAAACAAGACUAAAGUAUAUGUAGAAAAAAUUGAGAUUGAAUUAAUUAAUGAAUAUAGACAUUUAUUUUGGUAAUGCUUUUACCUUAUUAUAAAUUUUCACUUUUCAAAAUCAACAAGAAAAAUAAACCAACUAUUGCCUGGAUAUGCGACUGGAAUUAAUAAAUAGUUGUAUGUUAUCCAGGGUCGAGCAAAUGUAGGUAAUUCUCCUUUUGUGUAUUGCUCUAAUGCCUGAAAAUUAUUCAUAGAAGCGGU
Molecule: long non-coding RNA, 585 nt
Filed under: Olea europaea (common olive)
Lineage: Eukaryota; Viridiplantae; Streptophyta; Magnoliopsida; Lamiales; Oleaceae
Description: long non-coding RNA (OEUR_LNC003732)
Source: RNAcentral